AUGGCGGCCCCCUCCCGCACCUCCUGGGCCGACGUCGCCGACGCUGAACAUGCCCCUCCCGCUCCCGUUCCAGCGGCGGCGCCCGCCACAUCCAACGGCCCCGCGCGUGCCGACCGCUCCUCCUACGUCCCUCCCCACCUCCGCAACCGCUCCUCCUCCACCGCGCCUCCGGUGUCCUCCGCUCCACCCCCGCGCGCCGCGCCCGGCCUCCUCGGCCGCCCCACCAGCGGCGUCGGUGGGAGGUUCGGGGGAGGCGGGGCCCCACCUCGUAGGUGGGACCGGGAGCCCAACCCUUUCGGGGACGAGGAGGAGGUGCCGGCGGAGCCCGUGCCCUUCGACGAGCACCAGAACACGGGGAUCAACUUUGAAGCGUACGAGGACAUCCCCGUCGAGACCAGCGGCCGGGAGGUUCCGCCCGCCGUGGGCACGUUCGCGGAGAUCGACCUCGGCGCCGCGCUGAACGACAACAUUCGCCGGUGCAAGUACGUGCGGCCCACGCCCGUGCAGCGCCAUGCCAUCCCAAUCUCGCUGGCUGGGCGAGAUCUCAUGGCUUGCGCGCAGACUGGAUCGGGGAAAACGGCCGCCUUCUGCUUCCCCAUCAUCAGCGGCAUCAUGCGGGGCCCGCCCGUGCAGCGGUCACAGCGCGGCGGGAGUAGGACCGCCUGCCCUCUUGCCCUCAUCCUGUCGCCCACAAGAGAGCUGUCAAUGCAGAUUCAUGAAGAGGCGAGAAAAUUUUCAUAUCAGACUGGUGUCAGGGUAGUGGUUGCAUAUGGCGGGGCCCCUAUUACCCAGCAGUUGAGAGAUCUUGAGAGGGGUGUUGACAUUCUUGUGGCUACUCCUGGUCGUUUGGUUGAUUUACUGGAAAGGGCAAGAGUAUCCUUACAGUCGAUUAGAUACCUUGCCCUUGAUGAGGCGGAUAGAAUGCUGGAUAUGGGGUUUGAGCCGCAAGUUAGGAGAAUUGUUGAGCAAAUGGACAUGCCUCCACGAGGUGUAAGGCAGACGUUAUUGUUCAGCGCUACAUUCCCAGGAGAAAUACAGAGAAUGGCAUCUGACUUUCUGGAGAACUACAUAUUCCUGGCUGUUGGAAGGGUCGGAUCAAGUACUGAGUUGAUUGCCCAGAGAGUUGAGUUUGUACAGGAGGCAGAUAAAAGAAGUCACUUGAUGGAUCUGCUCCAUGCGCAAAGAGACAGUUCAGAACAAGGGAAGCAAGCUCUCACACUUGUCUUUGUGGAGACCAAAAGGGGUGCCGACUCACUGGAGAACUGGUUGUGUACGAAUGGAUUUCCAGCGACUUCUAUUCACGGUGAUAGAAACCAGCAGGAAAGAGAAUAUGCUUUGAGAUCCUUCAAGAGUGGUCAAACUCCAAUUCUAGUUGCAACUGAUGUGGCGGCCCGGGGCCUCGACAUUCCUCAUGUUGCUCAUGUUGUGAACUUUGAUCUCCCCAAUGAUAUUGAUGACUACGUACACAGGAUUGGUCGUACAGGGAGGGCAGGAAAAAGUGGAAUUGCGACUGCUUUCUUCAAUGACAACAACUCUUCGAUGGCAAAGUCUCUAGCUGACCUAAUGCAAGAAUCUAAUCAGGAGGUACCUGCGUGGCUUACUCGCUAUGCAGCUCGCCCAUCCUAUGGUGGUGGUGGUGGAAGGAACAGACGUGGUGCUGUAGGUGGGAGCCGCUUUGGUGGCCGUGACUUCCGUAGGGAAUCUUCUUCCUUUGGCAAGGGUGGUGGCGCCAGUGACUAUGCUGGAGGCAGCAGCUACGGGGGCGGUGGCUAUGGUGGUGCUGGAGCUCCCAGUGCCUGGGAUUAA
This 1806-nucleotide ribosomal RNA is filed under the name Triticum aestivum (bread wheat). Its description in RNAcentral is "partial small subunit ribosomal RNA". Lineage: Eukaryota; Viridiplantae; Streptophyta; Magnoliopsida; Poales; Poaceae. The record is from RNAcentral.